CGCGGUAAUUCCAGCUCCAAUAGCGUAUAUUAAAGUUGUUGCCGUUAAAAAGCUCGUAGUUGAACCUUGGACCUGGCUGAUCUGUCCUCCUAAUCGAGCGUACGGAUUCGGUCGGGUCUUUCCUUCUGGGGAGCCCUAUGUCCUUUACUGGUCGUAGCGGGGAACCAGGACUUUUACCUUGAAAAAAUUAGAGUGUUCAAAGCAGGCCUUUGCUCGAAUACAUUAGCAUGGAAUAAUAGAAUAGGACAUCGGUUCUAUUUUGUUGGUUUCUAGGACCGCCGUAAUGAUUAAUAGGGACAGUCGGGGGCAUCAGUAUUCAAUUGUCAGAGGUGAAAUUCUUGGAUUUAUUGAAGACGAACUACUGCGAAAGCAUUCGCCAAGGAUGUUU
This 388-nucleotide ribosomal RNA is filed under the name uncultured eukaryote. Its description in RNAcentral is "SSU rRNA". It matches the Rfam family "Eukaryotic small subunit ribosomal RNA", at positions 575 to 969 of the family's 1831-position model. The record is from RNAcentral.